GGGAGUGUGGCUUAGUGGUAGAGUACUUGCCUAGCAAGCAUAAAACCCUAGGUUCAAUCCUCAGCACCA
This 69-nucleotide transfer RNA is filed under the name Dipodomys ordii (Ord's kangaroo rat). It matches the Rfam family "tRNA". Rfam says of the family: Transfer RNA (tRNA) molecules are approximately 80 nucleotides in length. Their secondary structure includes four short double-helical elements and three loops (D, anti-codon, and T loops). Further hydrogen bonds mediate the characteristic L-shaped molecular structure. tRNAs have two regions of fundamental functional importance: the anti-codon, which is responsible for specific mRNA codon recognition, and the 3' end, to which the tRNAs corresponding amino acid is attached (by aminoacyl-tRNA synthetases). tRNAs cope with the degeneracy of the genetic code in two manners: having more than one tRNA (with a specific anti-codon) for a particular amino acid; and 'wobble' base-pairing, i.e. permitting non-standard base-pairing at the 3rd anti-codon position. The record is from Rfam by way of RNAcentral. Lineage: Eukaryota; Metazoa; Chordata; Mammalia; Rodentia; Heteromyidae.